Molecule: non-coding RNA, 177 nt
Filed under: Parasphingopyxis lamellibrachiae
Lineage: Bacteria; Pseudomonadati; Pseudomonadota; Alphaproteobacteria; Sphingomonadales; Parasphingopyxidaceae
Description: 6S / SsrS RNA
Rfam family: 6S / SsrS RNA
About the family: E. coli 6S RNA was the first non coding RNA to be sequenced, but its function was unknown until recently. It consists of 184 nucleotides that fold into an extended hairpin structure with a large single-stranded internal bulge. The 6S RNA specifically associates with RNA polymerase holoenzyme containing the sigma70 specificity factor.
Source: RNAcentral
CGGGCGCUGCCCGGUACGAGCCUACACGAAUAUCCCUGAGGCGAUACAACAUCCAAGGGAGCUGUCCCUGCCCGGGUUGCGGGAUUUGAAAUAGAAUCCGGAUCCGGUGCAUAUGGCGCCCACCUGACGUUACUGGCGUCAGAGGAUUUUCGGGCAAACGACCAUGGCGGCCCCGCC